GAUCAUUCUCGUUGAAGAGAAAUUAUGCUCGUUAUUGACUUUAAUGCAUGGCUAUAAGCACGUGAAUCAUGAGCGCCGACGACGACGUUGAUAACGUUGAUCAAUAAGAGUUAGACAGUGUUUUAUGUACUGAACAAGUUGCAAACGAUUGUUGAAAUUCAUAUUCCAUUGGAAUCCUACAGUGGCAGUACGGCCCUACGAACGAACGAUUUGUCUCUGAAUCGAGACAGUAAUAUCAAUAUGCUGCCCUGUUGAAGUGUUAGAAAACCUACGGAGAUUAAUCCAAUCAAGUUGAUGAUGCCAAUUCACUUCAGGAAACAAAUCAAGAUGAACUAAAUGGACUUGAAUUAAUAGACCUUGAGGUCAGCAAUCUGUUUGGAAAAAUUGUUUUGAAAAAUAAAGUCUAAGAUGUUGCUAUUUCCGUAGAGCAAGUAAUAUAAUGACUUUAAAAAAGUUAUCUGUUAUGGCAUGUCGAAAUACAAUUUAUCGUUUUACAACCAUUGAAA
This is a long non-coding RNA of Xenia sp. Carnegie-2017, 506 nucleotides long. RefSeq lists it as uncharacterized. The record is from RefSeq and is a predicted model, not a curated record. The transcript is spliced from 4 exons. NCBI's taxonomy places the organism in Eukaryota, Metazoa, Cnidaria, Anthozoa, Malacalcyonacea, Xeniidae.